GUUUGAAGGCUCAGGCAGACGUGGUUCCAAGCCACCUCCCCAGCUCUGUCAGCGCAAAGACACGUGCUUCAUGGUCAAGAUGGUCAACGUUAUGUCAAGACCAAAGGAUCCCUAAGACACACGCACUCAGGCUAAGAUCCUCAGCUUCCUAUAACCCCAUGCUUCCCACGUGUUGUGACUGCACACCGCCCGUGACGGGAGCAGCGCUUGUGAAGACCAACGGCAUCGAGGGACACGACUAUGGGUCUUCAACGAAGAGAUCCAGCCAUCCACCAGGGCCGGUCUGGGCCAAUGCCUUUCCCUCACGAGGCACAGAACAACCUGCAGAAUUUUCUCAAGGGGAAGCCAGUUAUUCUUGGGGUGAGCCAAAUCAUGAUCGGCCUAAUGAACAUUUGCCUGUGGAUUAUGAUAAAGGUCUUCCUUUCAUUCCACCAACUACAUCUAGCACUAGAAAACAGUGCACAUACCUUCAUUUUCCUUUUGGGACCAAUUUUUUUACUUUUAUCUGGAACUGUGUCCAUUGUGUCUGGAAAGAAGACGACAAAACAGAUGGGGAUUACGUUUCUGAAGCUCAUCCUCGUCCUCCUGGGACUCGUCACCUCAGUGCUGCUGUCUGCGUUUGGAUGCAGCGCUGUCUGCUGUGAUGUGACCUCAGUGGUUGUCGACUUAUCCUCCAAUGAGUGUGGACUUCCCAUGGCUACUCUUUCUCAUGACUAUGAUGAGGUGGCUUUCCAACCCACUUAGUUGUUUGAUAUGUCAACUUUCGAACCAUUCCUGGAUUUACUCUAAUUGUAUUAUUGGGAGUAAAUCAGUAAUCAGGCAGUGAACAGCCUUCAGCGUUCUCAAGGGGAGAGAAAGUCACAGAUUUGCUGACGUUGACUCCGCUGUGGUCUCCUACUCUACCCCCAAUUAUGAUUACAUUUGGACAUGAUAAAUAAAGCCUAUGAUUCAUCAGCA
Molecule: long non-coding RNA, 957 nt
Filed under: Ursus maritimus (polar bear)
Lineage: Eukaryota; Metazoa; Chordata; Mammalia; Carnivora; Ursidae
Description: lncRNA (ENSUMAG00000013448.1)
Source: RNAcentral